This 253-nucleotide ribosomal RNA is filed under the name uncultured bacterium. RNAcentral's name for it is "partial 16S ribosomal RNA". It matches the Rfam family "Bacterial small subunit ribosomal RNA", at positions 524 to 776 of the family's 1533-position model. The record is from RNAcentral.
UACGGAGGGGGCGAGCGUUAUUCGGAAUUAUUGGGCGUAAAGGGCGCGUAGGCGGCCUUGUAAGUCAAAGGUGAAAUCCCUCGGCUCAACUGAGGAACUGCCUUUGAAACUGCAAGGCUCGAGGCCGGGAGGGGGUAGCGGAAUUCCCAAUGUAGCGGUGAAAUGCGUAGAUAUUGGGAGGAACACCAGUGGCGAAGGCGGCUACCUGGACCGGUUCUGACGCUGAGGCGCGAAAGCGUGGGUAGCAAACAGG